RNAcentral lists this long non-coding RNA (989 nucleotides) under Homo sapiens (human). Its description in RNAcentral is "HSALNT0352914". Lineage: Eukaryota; Metazoa; Chordata; Mammalia; Primates; Hominidae. The record is from RNAcentral.
UCAAGCUAUCCACUUGCCUCAGCCUCCCAAAUUGCUGAGAUUAGAAGAAUGAGCCACUGUGCCUGUGACUUACUUCUAACCCACAGAAUAGAGCAACAGUGAGAGGAUGUCAAUUCUGUGAUAGAUUGCAAAAUAUUGUAAGUUCCUAGCAGUCUUUCUCAUUGGUUUCAAUAAAAAAAAGCUGCUGUGCUGGAGGGACCCAUGAGGCAAAGAACUGAGAGCAGCCUUUAGCUAACAGCCGGCAAGGAAUGAGGUGCUUGGUCCAGCAAUCACAGAGAAACUGAAUCCUGCUGAUGAUCAUGAGGGUGAGCUUGGAAGCAGAUUCUGUCCCAGAUGAACUUUGAUUGUGUCUUGUUAGAAACCCUGGACCAACUCCUUGAUUGCACCUGUGAGAGGCCCUGAAGCGGAGGGCCCAGCUAAGGUGUGUCUGGAUUUCUGACCCACAGAAACUGAGAUCAUAAAUGUGUGGUUUUAAGCCCUACUCCAGCACUUUCACAGUCAUUUACGGCAUCUGCAGAGCAGUGAAAAAUUUGAAUUGCCUGAGAUACAUGCUCCCUGCUGAAGUCGCACAAGAUGGCAAGGAUAUUGCUGUUGGCUCAUAGGAUGUGAACAGUGGUGUUGAGAUUACCCUCAUUUGGCUGAUGAUGUCAUUGAGGCCCAGAGAAGGUAGGACACCUGGCAGGGCCUGGCUUUGGGGCUAACUUCUGCAGCUCUUUUGAUUGCCCCCACCUUACAGUUUUUGGCACAGAGCACUGUGUAGCUGGCACUUCUCUACUGGCCCGAAUGAGAAAACUUCCUCAGAGCAAAAUGUCAAGCACCAAAUAAGAUUCAUGUUUACUGUGAAGUGAUUGCUGCUUUUUAAAUGCUUAUCAGAAGCCGAAGGACAAACUCAGUAGGUUGAUUCAUGCUGAGCUCGACUACCUCCGUGAGAAAUGACUCUCCUGUAGGGCUCGAUGACCUUCAUGUCAAUGCGCUGCUCUUGUUCUCCA